GGUGUUGUGGUGUAGUUGAUUAUCAUGUUUGUCUUACAAUUAAAGGUCCCUAGUUCAAAUUUAGGUUUUUUUA
This 73-nucleotide transfer RNA is filed under the name Amborella trichopoda. Its description in RNAcentral is "tRNA-Val". The record is from RNAcentral. Lineage: Eukaryota; Viridiplantae; Streptophyta; Magnoliopsida; Amborellales; Amborellaceae.